GUCCAUAUUUCGUGUAGCUCUGCAUAAUCUUAUUGUAUUUUUUUAAUCAAAGCGCUAAUUAUAUUUAUUUCAUUGUAAUUAAGUUCAGAUUUAUCUAAAUUAUUAAAAAUUUAUAAAAGUUUCAUGGCAGGAAAAAAGAAAAUUAGCAUAUUUCGAUAAAAUUUUUCUGACACGAAAAUCUAACCUCGAAAGUUUAGCAUCGUAAUGUUAAAUAAAAAAAUACAGGGUUAAAGACGUCAUCAUAGAAAAAAGGCUAAAAAUGCUAAACUUUUCGGCGUCAAUUCUUCUCAACUCAGAAUUCAGAUUUGGAGAAGAAUUUAAUGAAAUUGUUAUCCAUAAAUAACAACUUCUACUAAAUCUUCGAAUAAGUGUUCAAUCAUGAAGGAUGGGUGUUUGUUGCGGAGCUGCUCCUGGAGGAGAUCUUGCAUUGCUGAGUCGCAGUUCAAUACAGUUGGUCCAGCAGAGGAAGGAUUUGCCCAUUUAAAAAGAGGAUAUGCUGUCAUCGUAAAUUUUACACAACGCAGAAAUUUUCC
Leptopilina boulardi is the source of this 533-nucleotide long non-coding RNA. RefSeq lists it as uncharacterized. NCBI's taxonomy places the organism in Eukaryota, Metazoa, Arthropoda, Insecta, Hymenoptera, Figitidae. The transcript is spliced from 5 exons. The record is from RefSeq and is a predicted model, not a curated record.